GGUUAAUGGCACAUGUGGGGUUAAGAAAGUGACUGAAAGGCACUCGGUGUAAUUGUGUGGGCAAAGGCACCCAACGCAUAACAGGGGGGUUUAAUCCCUUAAGGACACAUGACAUGUGUGACAUGUCAUGAUUCCCUUUUAUUCCAGAAGUUUGGUCCUUAAGGGGUUAAAGGUCCACAAAGGGUAAGAAAAGUUAAAAAGGCAGUCAACAGUUAAAAAC
Pelobates cultripes (western spadefoot toad) is the source of this 220-nucleotide non-coding RNA. The record is from the annotation of a GenBank genome assembly. Lineage: Eukaryota; Metazoa; Chordata; Amphibia; Anura; Pelobatidae.